This 637-nucleotide long non-coding RNA is filed under the name Vulpes vulpes (red fox). Its description in RNAcentral is "lncRNA (ENSVVUG00000017038.1)". The record is from RNAcentral. Lineage: Eukaryota; Metazoa; Chordata; Mammalia; Carnivora; Canidae.
CCCAUCUGCUUGCCGAGUAUCUGCAACUUGAAUUUUCACAGAUAAAGAAUUGACUGUACAUUUCUGACACUUGGACUCCCUGAACCAGAGUGUUCAUUUCUCUGUCCUGGGGCCAUAUCCUCGUUUGGUUAAUUGCAUCCCCUUUUCUCAGAUAUUUUUGAGGACUUCCAAAUGGUUCCAGUCUUUUUGCUCAAUCUGUUCCGAACUGGUACACAAUACUUUCAAACUGGUAUCUAGGACCAUAUGACACAGUUAACUAGCUAGCUGCUUUUCAUACUUGAGAUAUUUGUGCUUUGGAGAUAUAACUGGGCUUUUGCAUUUUAAGUUUUGUAGGUGCUUUAAUAUUUGUGUGUAGAAUGCUGUAAUCUCAUAAAUGAAGAUGGUACCGCUGACCAGUUCCUUGCCUUCUGUUCCUUUCUUGUGGAAUUCAUCAUUUAUUACCUCUAAUUAUUUCAAGGAGAAGAUACGUACAUCUGCCACCAAUUACCCACGUCUAUAUAUCAUGGUUCACAGAAUCAAGACAUUAAAACUGCAUACAGGGAAGACCAACAACAAAAAAAAGCCUUGAAGAUAAGUAUGCUGCAUGCUGCAUCAGUACAUAGUGAUCAGAGGCAAUGCUAAGGAUGGUGGAGAAAAG